RNAcentral lists this ribosomal RNA (496 nucleotides) under uncultured bacterium. RNAcentral describes it as "partial 16S ribosomal RNA". It matches the Rfam family "Bacterial small subunit ribosomal RNA", at positions 28 to 506 of the family's 1533-position model. The record is from RNAcentral.
GAUGAACGCUGGCGGCGUGCCUAAUACAUGCAAGUCGAGCGAACGGACGAGAAGCUUGCUUCUCUGAUGUUAGCGGCGGACGGGUGAGUAACACGUGGAUAACCUACCUAUAAGACUGGGAUAACUUCGGGAAACCGGAGCUAAUACCGGAUAAUAUUUUGAACCGCAUGGUUCGAAAGUGAAAGACGGUCUUGCUGUCACUUAUCGAUGGAUCCGGGCUGCAUUAGCUAGUUGGUAAGGUAACGGCUUACCAAGGCAACGAUGCAUAGCCGACGUGAGAGGGUGUACGGCCACCGUGAAGCUGAGAGACGGUCCAGACUCCGAGGGGAGGCAGAAGUAGGGAAUCUUGCGAAAAGGGCGAAAGCCUGACGGAGCAACGCAGCGCGAGUGAUGAAGGGCUGCGGAUCGUAAAACUCUGUUAUUAGGGAAGAACAUAUGUGUAAGUAACUGUGCGCAUCUUGAGGGAACGUAUACAGAAAGCCAGGGCUAACUACGU